Fukomys damarensis (Damara mole-rat) is the source of this 168-nucleotide unclassified non-coding RNA. Lineage: Eukaryota; Metazoa; Chordata; Mammalia; Rodentia; Bathyergidae. The record is from Ensembl.
GAGUGUUAGUUGCUUUGAAAAUAUCACUCAAUUCUUGGACACCUGAAUUAGCAAUGUGUAUAAAAUAGUCAAGGCCUGGAGCUAUGCUUGCUUAAAUCAUGUACUAUUGAAUCUUUACCAGAGGACGCUUGCUUAAAACCCCAAGGAAACUGCUUUUCCAAAGGAAUG